AUUGAACGCUGGCGGCAGGCCUAACACAUGCAAGUCGAACGGUAACAGGAAGAAGCUUGCUUCUUUGCUGACGAGUGGCGGACGGGUGAGUAAUGUCUGGGAAACUGCCUGAUGGAGGGGGAUAACUACUGGAAACGGUAGCUAAUACCGCAUAACGUCGCAAGACCAAAGAGGGGGACCUUCGGGCCUCUUGCCAUCGGAUGUGCCCAGAUGGGAUUAGCUAGUAGGUGGGGUAACGGCUCACCUAGGCGACGAUCCCUAGCUGGUCUGAGAGGAUGACCAGCCACACUGGAACUGAGACACGGUCCAGACUCCUACGGGAGGCAGCAGUGGGGAAUAUUGCACAAUGGGCGCAAGCCUGAUGCAGCCAUGCCGCGUGUAUGAAGAAGGCCUUCGGGUUGUAAAGUACUUUCAGCGGGAGGAAGGGAGUAAAGUUAAUACCUUUGCUCAUUGACGUUACCCGCAGAAGAAGCACCGGCUAACUCCGUG
RNAcentral lists this ribosomal RNA (489 nucleotides) under uncultured bacterium. RNAcentral describes it as "partial 16S ribosomal RNA". It matches the Rfam family "Bacterial small subunit ribosomal RNA", at positions 30 to 507 of the family's 1533-position model. The record is from RNAcentral.